AGUCGUAACAAGGUUUCCGUAGGUGAACCUGCGGAAGGAUCAUCAUUGAAUCUAUAAUUACAAACCUUUGUGAAUCAUAUGUAUUAGAGUAUGUUUGGCAGGAAGAUGCUUGGGUGGCUGUUUGCUGCUCGUGCUCGCGUCUCUUCUUUGUGCUUUGCGCAAGGCUGAGUGCCUGCCAGCAUGCUCGUCUUUUAACAAACUUUUUUAAUUAUAUACUGAUAAAACAUUUUUAAUAAAAACAACUUUCAACAAUGGAUCUCUUGGCUCUCGCAUCGAUGAAGAACGCAGCGAAUUGCGAAAAGUAAUGUGAAUUGCAGAAUUUCGUGAAUCAUCGAAUCUUUGAACGCAUCUUGCACUUUCUGGUCCUCCAGAAAGUAUGCCUGUUUGAGUAUCAUGUACACCACUCAUUCUGUUGAAGGGCGUUGUAUUUACUACAGCGCCUUGCAGCAGCAAUGGAACUGAGCAUCCAGUGUGUUUGCGCAGCUCGGGCCGGCAGUUUUCUGCUUGCUUGCGUUGCGUCGAUGCGUUAAAGCUGGUUGCUUGAAAUGUAGCGUUGUUGUGCUUGGCACUGUUUCGUACUAGCGUAUUAGUUCAUUUCGAUUUUCUACGCACUCAUGGUACAAACGCAGCUUGCAGCAGCGAUAUACCCCUCCAUAGAGUAUGCAUUGGCAGUUGACAAUUCAUCUCCAACUAUUGAUCUCAAAUCAGGCAAGAUUACCCGCUGAAUUUAAGCAUAUUAAUAAGCGGAGGAAAAGAAACUACAAGGAUUCCCCUAGUAACGGCGAGUGAAGCGGGAACAGCUCAUCUUUAAAAUCUGGGCGGCUAGGCUGCUCCGAAUUGUAGUAUGUAGAAGCGUUUUCAGCGACGGUUCUGGUUCAAGUUCCCUGGAAAGGGGCAUCAGAGAGGGUGAUAAUCCCGUCUUUGAUCAGAACGUCUGAAGCUAUACGAUGCGCUUUCUUAGAGUCGGGUUGUUUGGGAAUGCAGCCCAAAACGGGUGGUAAAUUCCAUCUAAAGCUAAAUAUUGGCGAGAGACCGAUAGCGAACAAGUACCGUGAGGGAAAGAUGAAAAGAACUUUGAAAAGAGAGUUAAACAGUACGUGAAAUUGUUGAAAGGGAAACGCUUGAAGCCAAGCGGGCCGUCUACGUUAAGCUAGCCUCGGCUGGUGUAUUUUAGACGGCUGGCCAACAUCAGUUUGGCUGGCUGGAAAAAGGGCGUGGAAAGGUAGGUGUGCUUCGGCGCACUGUUUAUAGUCCACGUUCAAUACAGCCGGCUGGAUUGAGGACUGCAGCGCGACCCUUUUGGGCAGCAUGCCUGGUUGCUGCGACGCGGGAUUUUGUAGACAGCAUGCUGACUGCAAAAUGCUAACGAAGCACUCAGCCAGAGCAUGGCACUCGCGCUUUGGAUGUUGGUGAAAGGGCUUUAAACGACC
Molecule: ribosomal RNA, 1430 nt
Filed under: uncultured fungus
Lineage: Eukaryota; Fungi
Description: eukaryotic LSU rRNA
Rfam family: Eukaryotic large subunit ribosomal RNA (bases 695-1430)
Source: RNAcentral